This 90-nucleotide small nuclear RNA is filed under the name Prolemur simus (greater bamboo lemur). The record is from RNAcentral. Lineage: Eukaryota; Metazoa; Chordata; Mammalia; Primates; Lemuridae.
UUGCUUCAGCAGCACAUAUAUUGUUAUUAGCACGAUAAAUGGCCCCAGCACAAGGGUGACAUGCAAAUUCAUGAAACAUUCCAUAUUUUU